Molecule: ribosomal RNA, 497 nt
Filed under: uncultured bacterium
Lineage: Bacteria
Description: partial 16S ribosomal RNA
Rfam family: Bacterial small subunit ribosomal RNA
Source: RNAcentral
GAUGAACGCUGGCGGCGUGCCUAAUACAUGCAAGUCGAGCGAACAGACGAGGAGCUUGCUCCUCUGACGUUAGCGGCGGACGGGUGAGUAACACGUGGAUAACCUACCUAUAAGACUGGGAUAACUUCGGGAAACCGGAGCUAAUACCGGAUAAUAUAUUGAACCGCAUGGUUCAAUAGUGAAAGACGGUUUUGCUGUCACUUCUAGCUGGAUCCGCGCCGCAUUAGCUAGUUGGUAAGGUAACGGCUUACCAAGGCAACGAUGCGUAGCCGACCUGAGAGGGUGAUCGGCCACACUGGAAGUGAGACACGGUCCAGACUCCUACGGGAGGCAGCAGUAGGGAAGCUUCCGAAAAGGGCGAAAUCCUGACGGAGCAGCGCCGCGUGAGUGAUGAAGGUCUUCGGAUCGUAAAACUCUGUUAUUAGGGAAGAACAAAUGUGUAAGUAACUAUGCACGUCUUGACGGUACCUAAUCAGAAAGCCACGGCUAACUACGUG